CCCGCCGCUGUAAUCCUUGCUGCAAUGCCUCAUCAAUGAGCCACUGGUGAAAACCGGGAAGGCGAUAAGGCUAAAAGGAGAGCCAGAAGACCUGCCUAUAGUUAAAACCUAUA
RNAcentral lists this non-coding RNA (113 nucleotides) under Candidatus Omnitrophota. The record is from RNAcentral. Lineage: Bacteria; Pseudomonadati.